Molecule: long non-coding RNA, 501 nt
Filed under: Brachypodium distachyon (stiff brome)
Lineage: Eukaryota; Viridiplantae; Streptophyta; Magnoliopsida; Poales; Poaceae
Description: long non-coding RNA (BDIS_LNC003553)
Source: RNAcentral
CAUAACUUUUGGAUAAUUAUUUGGAGUUGAAAUACUAUUUUAUUUAAAUAGUUAUAUAGCCCUACAGGCAUUUAUAGGGCAAAUGUAUUUUUGCGCAUUCUCUUUUGAAGGGAAACUACUCCCAAAAGUUGUAUCACGAUAUAACAUGUUUUUACAAAUUUUCUGGAAUUUAUUUGUACCAACUUGGAGUUCAAAAUCAAAAGAUACCAAAGAAAUAAGAAAAACAGAAAAGAAAAAAGGCUAAAAGAGAAAAAAAGGGCAAAUGGACCGGCCCGGCUGUUUUGGGCCGAACCGGCCCAGUCCCGCGCGUGCCGCCCAGCCCGCUCCCCUGCAAGCCGCCGCCCGGCCCAGCGCGCCACGCGGAGUCACCGACAGCUGGGCCUCUCCUGUCGGGUUGUCUCCUACCUUGGGCAAGCGCCCGCGGAUCGCGCCGCUCGUCCCGCCCGUGUCCGCCUCCGCCAUCACCGGAUUCCCGUCGAUUCCGCGAUCCCCGCAGCCGCC